RNAcentral lists this ribosomal RNA (378 nucleotides) under Salmonella enterica. RNAcentral's name for it is "bacterial SSU rRNA". It matches the Rfam family "Bacterial small subunit ribosomal RNA", at positions 1 to 377 of the family's 1533-position model. Lineage: Bacteria; Pseudomonadati; Pseudomonadota; Gammaproteobacteria; Enterobacterales; Enterobacteriaceae. The record is from RNAcentral.
AAAUUGAAGAGUUUGAUCAUGGCUCAGAUUGAACGCUGGCGGCAGGCCUAACACAUGCAAGUCGAACGGUAGCACAGAGAGCUUGCUCUCGGGUGACGAGUGGCGGACGGGUGAGUAAUGUCUGGGAAACUGCCUGAUGGAGGGGGAUAACUACUGGAAACGGUGGCUAAUACCGCAUAACGUCGCAAGACCAAAGAGGGGGACCUUCGGGCCUCUUGCCAUCAGAUGUGCCCAGAUGGGAUUAGCUGGUUGGUGAGGUAACGGCUCACCAAGGCGACGAUCCCUAGCUGGUCUGAGAGGAUGACCAGCCACACUGGAACUGAGACACGGUCCAGACUCCUACGGGAGGCAGCAGUGGGGAAUAUUGCACAAUGGGCG